GACUACAGGAAUCCCUCAGCAUUCCAGAACUGAAUAAAUGUUUACAAUGGACACUCUGCUUCAGAAGGGUUGAGAAGAAAUGUAUUGUGAACCUGGAGUCUAAAGAUUUUGAUGAGUGACCAUGGUGGCAUAGUCUGUCCACACAGGGUUUCAUUUUGGGGCCCAAAGAUGUAAGGUCACAUGUGUUCUGUGAGGUGGCUGCCAUGAUGGCAAAGGACAACAGGAAAGCUGAGAAUAAAUUUUCCACAAUACAGAGAACUGAAAAGCACCUCAUGAUUUGUGGACUGGUGUUAGAUGUGUAUUACCUGAUUAGGGUGAGAAGGUACACAUCAGUCUGGAAAUAAUUACACCUGCUCAUAUAAAUGACUCCUCAACCAACAUUCUGGCAAGAGAACAGGACAAGAAUCUUCCAUCUUCUUAAGUCAACUUUUGGAGAUGAAGCAAGUCAUCUUCCUUGUUUCAGCUGAACCUGGGCUCUUUGCUUCACUGGCCCAUUGGAUGGUAAGCCUCCAAACCAGCAUCCAUUCACACAAGGACCAGCAGAACAGCCUAGACAGGCUCUUCUCAGGACCGUGGCAGAAGUGUGAAAUCUUGUGCAGACGUAGGCAGGCUUCUUCUUUAUAGAUAUGGAACUAAUGCUUCAUAAUCUCUGCUUCAUUCUACUGGAGAAAGUGAGUCAUAUGGCCAAACCCAAAGACAAGGUGUAGGGAAGAAUGCCCCUCCCAAAUGGAUGGAACUAGAAAAAAUCAUCUUGAGUGAGGUAACCCAAACCCAGAAAGACAGUUAUGGUAUGUA
Peromyscus leucopus (white-footed mouse) is the source of this 795-nucleotide long non-coding RNA. RefSeq lists it as uncharacterized. Lineage: Eukaryota; Metazoa; Chordata; Mammalia; Rodentia; Cricetidae. The transcript is spliced from 3 exons. The record is from RefSeq and is a predicted model, not a curated record.